Molecule: transfer RNA, 76 nt
Filed under: Azoarcus sp.
Lineage: Bacteria; Pseudomonadati; Pseudomonadota; Betaproteobacteria; Rhodocyclales; Zoogloeaceae
Description: tRNA-Arg
Rfam family: tRNA
About the family: Transfer RNA (tRNA) molecules are approximately 80 nucleotides in length.
Source: RNAcentral
CUCGCUCUAGCUCAACUGGAAGAGCGCCGGUCUACGAAGCCGGAGGUUGCGGGUUCGACUCCUGCGGGCGAGGCCA